This 561-nucleotide ribosomal RNA is filed under the name uncultured bacterium. RNAcentral's name for it is "partial 16S ribosomal RNA". It matches the Rfam family "Bacterial small subunit ribosomal RNA", at positions 355 to 1375 of the family's 1533-position model. The record is from RNAcentral.
UGGGGAAUAUUGGACAAUGGGCGCAAGCCUGAUCCAGCCAUGCCGCGUGAGUGAUGAAGGCCCUAGGGUUGUAAAGCUCUUUCGCCAGGGACGAUAAUGACGGUACCUGGAUAAGAAGCCCCGGCUAACUUCGUGCCAGCAGCCGCGGUAAUACGAAGGGGGCUAGCGUUGUUCGGAAUCACUGGGCGUAAAGCGCACGUAGGCGGAUCUUUAAGUCAGUGGUGAAAUCCCGAGGCUCAACCUCGGAACUGCCUUUGAUACUGGAGGUCUCGAGUCCGGGAGAGGUGAAUGGAACUGCGAGUGUAGAGGUGAAAUUCGUAGAUAUUCGCAAGAACACCAGUGGCGAAGGCGGCUCACUGGCCCGGUACUGACGCUGAGGUGCGAAAGCGUGGGGAGCAAAACAGGAUUAGAUACCCUGGUAGUCCACGCCGUAAACUAUGGAUGCUAGCCGUUGGGCAGCUUGCUGUUCAGUGGCGCAGCUAACGCUUUAAGCACCCGCCNGGGGAGUACGGUCGCAAGAUUAAAAACUUAAAUGAAUUGACGGGGUCAUAGCUGUUUCCU